GCGGACGUGGUGAAAUUGGCAGACACGCUAGAUUUAGGUUCUAGUGAGAAUAUCUCAUGAGAGUUCGAGUCUCUCCGUCCGCAC
RNAcentral lists this transfer RNA (84 nucleotides) under Pleurostichidium falkenbergii. RNAcentral's name for it is "tRNA-Leu". It matches the Rfam family "tRNA". Rfam says of the family: Transfer RNA (tRNA) molecules are approximately 80 nucleotides in length. The record is from RNAcentral. Lineage: Eukaryota; Rhodophyta; Florideophyceae; Ceramiales; Rhodomelaceae.